This is a long non-coding RNA of Dreissena polymorpha, 767 nucleotides long. RefSeq lists it as uncharacterized. The transcript is spliced from 3 exons. The record is from RefSeq and is a predicted model, not a curated record. NCBI's taxonomy places the organism in Eukaryota, Metazoa, Mollusca, Bivalvia, Myida, Dreissenidae.
UCGUCAAAUGUAAAUAUUUUAAAUGUUAAUGGGAAGAACAAAUUCUUAAAAUGUACAAUAUCUCCAUAUAACAUGCCUGUUAGACUGUCAAUAGACAUAGAAUCCCGUUUUAUUUUUUACGCGUUUUUUUUAAAGGCGAGUCCGAACAAUAUAAAUAGUAAAGGCAAAAAUUUAAAGUUAUAUAAUUAAUUGAAAAAAGUAUAUCGGUUUCGAAUGUCAUACAAUAAUUAUUUUCUUCUUUGGUGUCAAAGUAAACUACAUAUUCGUACAGAAAAUAUUUCACAGUACAUGUAUGUAAAAUUUGUUAAAUAUUCUCAUAAUCGUUUGUUUCAUAUCAUAAAACUGCACGCGACUGGAUGUAGUUAUAAAGAGGCCACAGAGGCUCUGCAACGAACGGUGGCCAAAAGUAUUUUCACAGCAUAUAGCCUGGCAACAACUCACCGCUCGAGCAUAAAAGAAUAUUGAUCAAGCGCCCUAGCAGAUAGACGUAAAGCCUGGUGAACACAAAGACGCUAACAUCCUGCAGAAAAGUUCAACAUGGCUGACAACACCGUACGGUCGGAAGAUGUGUAAGGACAAAAGUGGGAUCGUUGCAUUACAGACACCGGUUUACUGUUAACUGUUGAGUUAUCGAUCCGGACAGAACUUAAGUGUGCACCACUGCAGUAUGAUGACAUUUAAGUUUUAUAGACUUUCAUGCAAUAGUUACUGUCACACAGCUCCGGACAUUGAAAGUGGAAGGACGGAGAACCACACAGAAACAAUAU